GCGUCGUCUUCAGAGUUUGAUCCUGGCUCAGGAUAAACGCUGACAGAAUGCUUAACACAUGCAAGUCAAUGAUGGUUAGCUAAGCCUAGCUUAGAGGAAGUUAUGGCGGACGGGUGAGUAACACGUAAAGAACUUGCCUCUUAGACCGGGACAACAUCUGGAAACGGAUGCUAAUACCGGAUAUUAUGAUUUUUUCGCAUGGAGGAAUCAUGAAAGCUAGAUGCGCUAAGAGAGAGCUUUGCGUCCCAUUAGCUAGUUGGUGAGGUAACGGCCCACCAAGGCAAUGAUGGGUAGCCGGCCUGAGAGGGUGAACGGCCACAAGGGGACUGAGACACGGCCCUU
Molecule: ribosomal RNA, 342 nt
Filed under: uncultured bacterium
Lineage: Bacteria
Description: bacterial SSU rRNA
Rfam family: Bacterial small subunit ribosomal RNA
Source: RNAcentral